AUGGAUUCCCCCUCCGGCAGGGUGCCGGAACGGGCUCCCGAGAGGUUUUUGGUGGCUACAGAGGCUUGCCGCGGCGGAACUCCCGAUCUAUCUUGUUAUUCGAUGUUUUUAGGGUACGUAGGCUUUUAUAGGCGAAAGAAGUCGGUCGGGGGAGCCUCUAGGGGCCCACAAGAGUGGAGGGCGCGCCCAAGGGGUGGGCGCGCCCCCCUAUCUUGUGGCUUCCUUGAUGCUUCUCCAGCUUGCACUCCAAGUUUCCUGGGUCACGUUCGUUCCAAAAAUCACGCUGCCGAAGGUUUCAUUCCGUUUGGACUCCGUUUGAUAUUCCUUUUCUUCGAAAUACUGAAACAUGCAAUAAAACAGCAAUAUGGGCUGGGCCUCCGGUUAAUAGGUUAG
RNAcentral lists this ribosomal RNA (393 nucleotides) under Triticum aestivum (bread wheat). RNAcentral describes it as "partial small subunit ribosomal RNA". Lineage: Eukaryota; Viridiplantae; Streptophyta; Magnoliopsida; Poales; Poaceae. The record is from RNAcentral.